CGGAUAGAAAUGUAUAUUACUGGAAGACCAUUCGGAAAACGAGAAUUGCUUCGACUUAUCGAAAAUUCGAAUAAUAGAGUUUCGAGUUAUCGAAGUUCGACUGUAUAUACAUUGACUGUUGAGGAAUGCACUCUUCAUAAUGAUUUCCCAAAGUGCUCGUCUGCUGUUUGUGCUGAAGUGCAUUAUCCUGUGAAAUGUAAUGAGUCGAAAUUGAUAGCUGUCUUUUCAACAGGAGAAUACAGCCAUCAAUUUCUUUUCUUCAAUCAAAAUCUUUUCUCUGAAGCGGAUAGCGAUGUGACGAUUCCCUAAUUAUGCCCUUUUUGAAAUAAUUCUGCUCUUUGGGAAAAACGUUUAUCACAGGUGAAACGUCGACUUCCAACUCGUCGUGAUAAGAUUGAUGGUAGUGUAUACACAGUGCAUGCCUUCCCAUGAAAUACCGGAGUUACCCAGAAGACCUGUUUGUAUUACGGAGUGUGGUAACACAAAUCAGAAUUCGCGGAAAACAACGGUAAGGAGAUGGAACAGUCAGCUUUCUGUGACGGCUCUGACUUUACUGGAUAUAGGUUAAAACAGGAGGCUCUAGCCCCAGAAAUAUGAGGCUUCCCCCCAGUCCGACUUAACUUACGAGGCUUUAGACUCUUGGUCAGAAUAGUCUCUUGACUGCUAUAAAAAACUAGAGGUCGUUCGUUUAGGAUUUUCCGGUUGAAACUGAAUUAAAGUUUUUUGUCUGUAUCUCGUCAACCAUUGAUCGGAACGACGUAAGAGUGACAUAUUUGUGAUACAUUGGCAAUUCCGCACUUGACUGUUAUGAAAGAAAAAAUAUGAGGUCUGACCUUCUAGUUUAAUUUUGGUAUAUAAAUAUAGUAUACUUGCAGUCUAGCAUCCUAUCAUGCAGAGAAGUCUUCUAAAGGGUAAGUAUACGUGCAGUGCAGCAUCCUAGCAUGCAGAGAAGCCACCUAAAGGGUAAGAAUACUUGCAGAGAAGCAUUUCAAUGAUUACAGGAAAGUGUUCUAAAGGGUAAACACUAUUGCAGUGAAGCAGCAAAUGCACUUUAACAGUUGAUGACAUUAAUUAUAUACAUUCUAUCUGAUAAGAUAUAUAAAAUUUUCUUAUUAAUUAAUGUACCUGCGGCAGGCUGUAUCACUUUACUGGGGAAUAGGAUAAAUAUGAUUUUUAUGUAUUAUUGGUUUCCUAGUCAUUCCGCUGUUGUAUACGAAAUAUGAGAGAAUAUGAGGUCUAAAACCUUCUAUCCGGAUUAUCAGUAUAUCAAUCUUCUUAUACUGUCUUUAUAUGCAUCCAUAUCAAAUUUGGUGUCUCUAGCUGAAUUAGGGAAAAAGUCAUAAAAAUUGUCAUAAAAAACCUUUUGACAGUCAUAAAAAAUGGAAGAGAACUUUAAACUAAUAUGUCUUGUACUACUUGUAAUAAUGCAACAUGUGACAUAUUUUCAGAAUCAGCAUCUUAAGGUCUAUACAAUGGUAUUGUCAGUGUUCCCAAAUUUGGCACUUGGCCCACUCUUGUUAUCGGAACGGAAAAAUACUUUAGAAUUGUAUUAUACAUAUUCCAGUCAUUCAUAAAAGAUAUAUAUAUUAAUAUAAUUAAAGAGAUUAAAAAUUAAGUUUAAUCCUUAGAAAAUAAUGAAGGAAUUAAUUAAAAACUGACAUUAAUCUUAAUAACGUUCUUCACACCAAACUUUAUUUUUAAGUUGAGAGAUAAAACAUUCUCUGAUAAGAAUAUGAGUAAUAUCAUAAACAUUACUAAAGAUCUCAUGAAUAUACUUUCAUCUGAUAAGAAUAUGAUAAAGUUUAAAGUUUAAUGCAUUAGCCAAAGCUUAUUGUUAAGUUAAUAUGGUCAGUUAAUAUUUAAAUAUCACUAAUAAGUUGAUAUUAUUGGUAAAGAAAAAAAUGGAGUAAUAUUAAAAAAAGAUGUAAAAGUAGUUGCAGUGCAGUAUCCUGGAAGGGAGUAGAUCUACAGUGAAGCCUCCUAUAGGGUAAAUACACUUGCCGAGAAGUAUCCGAAGGGGCAAUAACAUUUGCAGAGAAGUAACCUAAAGGAUAUAAGACAUGCAGAGCUGUUUCCUUUUAGGGAAAAAGACUUGUAGUGAAGCAUCUGUAGUACCAACAUCAGAGAUAGAACUAAGUGUAAAUGGAAACUAUUUGUACUUAAUUAAUUAUUCCAAGAUAAAUUAAAUUUAACUUGUUACGAUAAAUAUCAAUAUGGUAAAUAAUAUAAAUAUCUGAUAUAUUUUUUAUCUUAGUCAGUAGAUGUCAAUUUCAUUUAGGUGUAUCAUAAUUACUUUGUUUUUAUCCUACUCAAUAGAUAUGCUUGGACUUAGAUCAUAUAUGACCUAUUGUAUUAGGGGAAAAGAAAGUUUUCUGAUUAGGAUGACAUCACUAGAUCACAUGUUGCCAUACUCAAUAGUAGUUAGAGUUAUAUCAUGUUAUUAAGAUGACAUCACUAGAUGAUAUGUUGCAGUAGCAGAGAAAAAAUCUUACUACUUUUUAUCCAACAAGAUCACAUCACUAGAUGACAUCAUAAUCAAUAGAAGUACUUGAAGUUAGAUCACUAGAUACAAUUUAUUCACUUUGUUCUUUUUUAUCCUUCUCAUUUGGAAUAAAAUCAAUAGAUGACUUAUUGUAAUAUCCGAUACAGGAAAAGAAAGACCUUUUUCUCAUAUGUUAUCCUCUUCUUUCUACUGCUACUGCAACAGAUAUUGAAAAUACAAGUGUACAAGAGACAUGUAGAUGUAUCAGUAGAUAAUCCAUAUUAGGUUCAAUUAGAGUACAUCAUAUUAGGUUCAUUUAGAGUCAACAUUACCUGGUAGCACUGUAAUACAAAUGUCUUUUUCUUAGAUGACUAAGAUUUAUUUCAUGUUUUAAAUUUUAACUUUGAAUAUUUAUGAAAAGUCAUUUUUUAUUCUACUCACUCGAACUUAGAUCAAUAGAUGAAUUAUUAUACUAGCUACAGUAAAAGAGAAAGACAUUUUUCUCUUUCGAGUAACUAUAACUUUUUUCUCCUUGUUAGGAAUAUAAUGACAUCUGGUGAGGAUUAAUGUGAUUAAUUGUUGUUUUAUAUACAGUAAUAAUUUCUAAAUAAUAAUAUCUCCAUCAAAAGAAAAAAGACCAACUUCCUGUUACAAAUGCGGACUCUUGUCACCAGAUUAUAACCAAUUAAAGUUGGCUGACAACCGGGUGUUUUUAUUUCGCAUCCUUCCUCUUUAAGAAAAUACAAUUAGAUUUCCAUUAUCUCAAUUAGUAUAGACACAGCGAAUUUUCUAGUACACCAUAUACCGAGUCAGUUCCUCGACCCCAGAAUGGAAAAUUCAAACAAAUGGCAAACUGUCAUAGUAGGUGUAUAGAGUAGAGUAGUAGACUUCCACAUCUGUCAGUCUAGUGUUGCCAUCUCUGGUAGACACAGAGUUACAGUCUUCCGCAAAUGAGACAAAGUGCGGAGAUGUGUUGUAGAAGCAAGGAUGUGUCUAUUGUAGCAAGCAAGCACAGUAGCAGGGGACCUUUCUUUCUUAUCAUAAUUCUUGUCGGAAUGUUUACUCUUUCUUUUCAUCACCUUUGGUCAUCUGAUAAGGAAAAAAAGGUCCUCUGCUACUUAACUGCUGCCUUGCUUCUUCAACC
Molecule: long non-coding RNA, 3626 nt
Filed under: Androctonus crassicauda
Lineage: Eukaryota; Metazoa; Arthropoda; Arachnida; Scorpiones; Buthidae
Source: RNAcentral